GUGAUAGUUAGCGCUGUGGUAAUGGGAUAAGAAGUGAUGGCCAGUAGGUGUUAAACACUGUGAGGCAGUGAAAUGCCUCAGCCUCUCAUUUUCUGUUGGUACUCCUUGAUGUUUCUCCCUGCUGACCCUGCAGUUUUGGUCCCUGGAGCACAAUGGGCACUUCCAUGAUCUCUCAGCCCCAGCACCAAAGAUUCUCCCAUCCAUUCCUCUCCCUCCACCCAGCCUUGCCACUUUUCUGUUUUACCAAAACCUUUUCUUCCUAUGUGUAGUCCCUACAUAGCAAAAAGUAGAGUUUUUAGCCUCUCUCCUCCAGCCUGUCCUUUCUGUUUUCUCCCAGUGUUCCUGUCCGAUUCUCACUCUGGUUGUCCAUUCCACUCCUUCCCCUCGCUUCUUCUGUUUCUGAGAUCCUUUUCUCUUUGUAGCACAGAAAUCCUCUUCCCAUUUUUGUUAACUCAUCCUGUCAGAUACCUGUGCCAUCUUUUCAUAAGAGUGAGCUGUAGGCUCUUGUAAGAGCUGUAAGAAAAAGGGCUUUUUCUUUUUCACCCUGCACACUAAUUAUUGUUUUAAUUAAAUGACUGAACAGUAUAAUAAUGUUGUGUGCUCAGAGACUACAUGGCACGCAUGGUAGAGCUGGAUAAGAUAUGAUACACACUGACAUAAUCCUAGGUGUUAACAAUAAUAAUGUACAACUUCAGCGUAUGUUGCUAUUUCAGGAUGUUUUGGCACAAUGGGUUGAUUUUAUUCACCCUGGGGCUGAGCAAUGAACAAAUUACCACAAGGCCAGCAAGGGUGGGGAUUCACAUUGCCUCAUUGUGGGGCUGUGAGCAUGCUUUGAGGUGCACAAUAGAGAUGCCUUCUCCAUUGACUGAGGGGCUCAAUGAGCCAAGCUCGGCAGCAGCCCCGGUAACAGCAGCAGCAGCAGCAGUGGUGCAGCACAGUAAUGGGCCCAACUGUUAACUGAUUUAACACUCUGCCAGCUGCAGUCCCUGAGCUCAGAGAGGAGCAGCGGGCCUUUGAAUAUUACCUUUCAGCCAAUUAGACAUAUGUCACUUUCAGAGAAUGUUUCUUGCCUGCUCCUGUAGAGGGGAGGCUGUGCUGGGGAGGAGAGAGGAAGGGCAUUACCUGCUUUUAUCCCAAAUUUGAGGUUCCUCCUUUGAGUAGGAAUUGGUUGUUUUUUCUGGUACACGGUGUAUGCUAGUGCCUGCAGAGGGCUGUGAGAGAAAAGAAUGAUUCUCGGAAUUCCAGGAGUUUUUCGGAGUCUUGUAGGCUGCCUAUGGAAGGGGUAGGAGCUUUUACAUAAAGGUGGGUUUGAAUCGUUGGGUUGAACUGAGACCUCUUUGCACCUGAAUGCUGUGGAGCUUAAAAUCGCCAUCUCAAUUGGCUUGAUUUUGUUUUGCAUGUAAAACCUCCUGAUCUCAAAGAGACUUUGGUUUCAGCCAAAGCAGAUGUCAGAGAGCUGACAGCAGUUCGGAACGUUCAAUUUUGCCCCAACAAUCAAUUUUACAAAAAAAAAAAAAAAUACAAGUCAGAUUGUAACCAGUGAGUGAGUGGCAGCUCUGGGAGAGUGCUGCAGGAUGCUUCAUUUGUCCAAAAGUUGUCACCAACUGCACCGCUACAGCGGCACACAGGGCUCUGGGGUACCACCACAGCUGUUCCAAUGCCAUCCUUUAGGAGGGCAAGUAGGCACCCACAGAAAAUGAAUAUUAGG
Molecule: long non-coding RNA, 1708 nt
Organism: Gallus gallus (chicken)
Lineage: Eukaryota; Metazoa; Chordata; Aves; Galliformes; Phasianidae
Source: Ensembl